ACUGAGGUCUAUCCCGACUGGCUCCUCUCGGUAGAGCUGUGUCGUUGGAAACGCCUCAAAAAACAUACCUGUGGUAUCGCUUUACCCAUUCGGCUACUGCCAUUAGCUUUGUGGGGUCAAAAAAACUACAGAACAAAA
Small nucleolar RNA from Chanos chanos (milkfish), 138 nucleotides. Lineage: Eukaryota; Metazoa; Chordata; Actinopteri; Gonorynchiformes; Chanidae. The record is from RefSeq and is a predicted model, not a curated record.